AGUGAACGCUGGCGGCGUGCCUAACACAUGCAAGUCGAGCGAAGUGGCAGCUGUAGCAAUACAGUAUGUGCUUAGCGGCAGACGGGUGAGUAACACGUAGACAACCUUCCUUCCAGAGGGGGAUAGCUCGCCGAAAGGCGAGGUAAUACCGCGUAAGAUCAACGGUCGGCAUCGAUUGUUGAUGAAACAUCCGCAAGGAUGGCUGGGAGACGGGUCUGCGGCCUAUCAGCUAGUUGGUGAGGUAACGGCUCACCAAGGCUACGACGGGUA
This 270-nucleotide ribosomal RNA is filed under the name uncultured bacterium. RNAcentral describes it as "partial 16S ribosomal RNA". It matches the Rfam family "Bacterial small subunit ribosomal RNA", at positions 29 to 285 of the family's 1533-position model. The record is from RNAcentral.